This 74-nucleotide transfer RNA is filed under the name Lachnospiraceae bacterium. RNAcentral's name for it is "tRNA-Pro". It matches the Rfam family "tRNA". Rfam says of the family: Transfer RNA (tRNA) molecules are approximately 80 nucleotides in length. Their secondary structure includes four short double-helical elements and three loops (D, anti-codon, and T loops). The record is from RNAcentral. RNAcentral also lists the same sequence under 1 other name. Lineage: Bacteria; Bacillati; Bacillota; Clostridia; Lachnospirales; Lachnospiraceae.
CGAGGCGUGGCUCAGUUUGGUAGAGCACCGUGUUAGGGACGCGGGGGUCGCGUGUUCAAGUCACGUCGCCUCGA